AGUUGAUCAAGAGAUUUUUUGAUAUUAUUGUUGAGGUUGUUAAUGAAAAAUUGAUAUCUUUAGAUUAAGAUAAAAGAUCUGAUUUAUAUUUAUUUCAGAUUAAGGGAUCCAUGUGAAUUUAUAAUUUAGAAAUUUUAGAUUUAGGAAUUGAUAUGGAGUUCCUUUGCUUUUGUUAACGAGGUCCCUAAUUGAAUCUACUAUUAAAUGGAGAU
RNAcentral lists this long non-coding RNA (212 nucleotides) under Elaeis guineensis (African oil palm). RNAcentral describes it as "long non-coding RNA (EGUI_LNC005632)". Lineage: Eukaryota; Viridiplantae; Streptophyta; Magnoliopsida; Arecales; Arecaceae. The record is from RNAcentral.